CACAUAGAAUUGUGGUUACCAUUACUGACUGAAGCUCCGUUUCACCUGAAACCACUCACUGUGAAGAGGAAUUUUACUUUGCCAAAUUAAACGAUUGCAGAAACGCCAAUGUGUGACAAAAGGCUCAUAGAAAAAUGCAAGAAAAUUGGACAAGAAUGCAAGAUUAAAAGAGGAAUGUCGAUUUGUGUAGAAACACGAACUUGUGAUGAAAGGCUAAAGGAAGAAUGCAAGAAAAUGGGACAUGAAUGCAAGAUGGAAGGAGGAAUGCCGACUUGUGUAGGUACAGAAAUGCCAACAUGUGACGAAAGGGUAAAAGAACAAUGCAAACAAAUUGGACAGGAAUGUAGGGUUCAAGGAACAAUGCCAAUUUGUGUAGAAACCCCAACUUGUGACCAAAGGCAAAAAGAACAAUGCAAUAAAUUGGGACAGGAAUGCAAGAUGAAAGGAGGAAUGGCGAUUUGUGCAGAAACCCCAACUUGUGACCAAAGGCAAAAAGAACAAUGCAAUAAAUUGGGACAGGAAUGCAAAAUGAAAGGAG
Molecule: long non-coding RNA, 538 nt
Organism: Dermacentor andersoni
Lineage: Eukaryota; Metazoa; Arthropoda; Arachnida; Ixodida; Ixodidae
Source: RefSeq, a predicted model, not a curated record